Molecule: long non-coding RNA, 1766 nt
Filed under: Homo sapiens (human)
Lineage: Eukaryota; Metazoa; Chordata; Mammalia; Primates; Hominidae
Description: PREDICTED lncRNA (TCONS_00067662)
Source: RNAcentral
ACUGUGAAGUCACAAGAGGCCCUGAGCUCUGUGGGCCCCAGGUGCCCCGGGAAAACUUGGGGGAGAAUGGGCAUCCCACCCCAGCACUUUCUAGGAAGAAGGGCAGCAUUUUGAAGGGCUGGAAGUAGAGGAAGGAGGUUGCGGGUAGAAGACUCCAUACUUUCUGUGACGCCUAUUCCUUAGCUUGUGAUGAAUGUUUUCUCAGUAUCCUAUGCUGAAAACAGGUAGAUACUAAUAUCGAUCUUCAAGGGAGGGCUGUUGAGUAUUGAAUAAGACAAAAACAUGGAAGCAAUCAGCACCAUGCUGGAAUCAAGGCUAUCUGUAAUCACAGGGCUAUUUGAAAAAGAGAAGAAAAGGUGUCUUGAAAUUCAACCAACAUGUUUCAAUUAUUUGCUCCUAAGAACAACAGAAGUUUCAACAUUCUGCCAACAGAGUAACUCCUGGAAGAUUGGCACAGAAGAAGGCACAAGGAAGUCAGUGAUAAAAAUAUUUAAGCAGCUUUGUCUGCCUUAGACCUUCCAACUAAAAGUACAGCAAGUGGAAUGGAAUGCUAAUAUGAGGAUCCAAAUUUUCAGGGAAGGAGGAGAGCCUUUAUAUAACCAAAGAUAUUUUUGGACCAUGAAUUCAGAAAUUCUCGGAGCCACCCAUCAGUGCCUGAGCUUCAGUGAGUCCAUAUCCCAUGUCACCCACGGCAAAGGAGACUCUAAGACUUCUGAAGAGUUUCUUGCUUCUUUCCUGUGGGGCAGUGACUCCACUUCCCAGCAGUAAUGGAAUAUCCUGAAUUAGCUACAUUAAUGUUAGAACCAUUUGGACCUCACCCAGGACUUCAACUACAUUAUGGAUGUUAUAAGAAAUGAGACUCACUACUGAAUUCACAGCAGGCAUGGUUGAAGGCACCAUUCACUAUAGCUUGCAGUGUUCCCUUUAUGAGAUUUGUAUGAGAAAUUCCUCUCAUAGGUCAAGUUCUUGGGAGAAAAUUCUCCCAAAGAGCAAGUCCCAGGAAAAUCUUGGCUGCUAAAGUUACAGAACCCAAAUUUGGCAACUGUCUGCAUCUGAACAACAGAAGUUUCAACAUUCUGCCAACAGAGUAACUCCUGGACGAUUGGCACAGAAGAAGGCACAAGGCAAAUACCCAUCUCUGUACACCCUGUGCUACUGUGUCAUGUGCUGCUCCAGGCAACUCCAAUGGAUUGGCCACCCUGGCCAAUGUGUUCUAGUAUGUUACGUUUAUGUUCCCCUGCUUUCUACAAUCCUGUUCAAAGAGUUGCUGACUUAACCACAGAGAGGAUUCCAGAACCUGAGACACAGAAUAAACUUGAGCAAUCAUAGUCCAUCCACUUCAUUGUCUCAUCAAAAACCAAAGGUCCAGUGAAGCUCUGGAACUCAACGCUGUAAAGGAGCGAAGGAGCUUCUAUACAGAGCCUGGAUGCCUGUCUCCUUAUCCUACUUCAGUGGACUUGACUGCAAUCCGGAUUAUGCUGUUUUCUAAGCAUUUAAAAUAAAAUAAAAAGUAUAAUAGUGUGAUAAGUUCUUUCACAAAGCAAGCAAUCACAUUUAUGUUUCUACUUACAUUUGGGUUUUCCAAAUAUGUGUGUGUGUGUGUGUGUGUGUGUGUGUGUGUGUAUGUAGACUUUAAACAUGGUGCAUCCAUCAUGUUGCACUAAAUCAAAACCACCAAAUAAUGAUGUAGAACUAAUAAAUCAAAACCAUCAAAUAAUGACAUAGAAAUCCAAUUCUCCCACCUUACACCCAUUAAGAUGGCUACU